This 446-nucleotide ribosomal RNA is filed under the name uncultured bacterium. RNAcentral describes it as "bacterial SSU rRNA". It matches the Rfam family "Bacterial small subunit ribosomal RNA", at positions 29 to 521 of the family's 1533-position model. The record is from RNAcentral.
AGCGAACGCUGGCGGCAGGCCUAACACAUGCAAGUCGAGCGCCCGUAGCAAUACGGGAGCGGCAGACGGGAGAGUAACACGUGGGAACGUACCCUUCAGUUCGGAACAACCCAGGGAAACUUGGGCUAAUACCGGAUACGUCCGUAAGGAGAAAGAUUUAUCGCUGAAGGAUCGGCCCGCGUCUGAUUAGCUAGUUGGUGGGGUAAUGGCCCACCAAGGCGACGAUCAGUAGCUGGUCNGAGAGGAUGAUCAGCCACAUUGGGACUGAGACACGGCCCAAACUCCUACGGGAGGCAGCAGUGGGGAAUAUUGGACAAUGGGCGCAAGCCUGAUCCAGCCAUGCCGCGUGAGUGAUGAAGCCCUAGGUUGUAAAGCUCUUUACCCGGGAAGAUAAUGACUGUACCGGGAGAAUAGGCCCCGGCUAACUUCGUGCCAGCAGCCGCAGU